UUUAAUAUUUCUUUAAAUAAAUAUAUAUAAUUUUAAUUAUUAUUUUUCUUUAUUUAUUUUCUUUCUUUUAUUCUUCAAUUCAUUUUCUUUCUUCUUCCUCAAUUCUUCUUUUUCUUCUUCUUCUUCUUCUUCUUCCUCACAAACGCUGACAUCAAUGACAUCCAAGAACUCAUCAAUGACAUUUUUCUUUCUUCCUCUUCAAUUCUUCUUCUUCACAAACAAUGACACCAAGAACUCAUCAAUGAUAUUUCUUUUUCUUUUUCUUCUUCAUUUUCUUUUUUCUUUUUCUUAUUCAUUUUCUUUCUUCUCUUCAACAAAACACAAAAAACCAUGGAUGCUCCCCCCACACACCAAAUUCUAAAAUCCCAUAAAAAAUUAAUAACUAAUUCUAUUCCAUUUCAAGAACACACACCCCAAAUGGGUCUAUCUUCAAUUCCAUCAAAAUGACAAAAUUAACAAUUAUUUCAACAAUUGGUGCAAUAGCUAAAAUAAAAUUUGGUGGUGGUGUUGCGUCGAUUGGAGGUGGACAGUGGCGGCGCCGCCUUCACCGGAGUUUGUCAGCGGCGGCGCUUCGCUUAAAUACGAUUUCCCGACGAUUGGAGCAUUGGUUUUGGAUGAUUUUUAUUGGGGUGUGCUCGCGUUGAGGUGGCGAACCUGUUGGGACUGGUCCGCGACACCAAAAUUCACCGGAGCUCCGGCGACAGCGACAAGCAGUGGUGGAUUCGCAAUUUGACGGCGGCGACGACGCCAACUUGGUUGAUUCAAGUUGAGUUGCUCACAUGAAUUUUUGGAAAUGUGAACAUAUUCAUGAAUCAAAAUCUGAUCCUUCUCCUCAAUUAAUCCGGAUUCCUGUGCUUUCAAAAAUGCUUCCAAAAGGAAAGAAAAAUGGAAAAUGGAAAGGAAAAUUCAAAGAAGAGAAUAUAUAUAUAUAUAUAUAUAUAUAUAUAUAUAUAUA
This 955-nucleotide long non-coding RNA is filed under the name Capsicum annuum. RNAcentral's name for it is "long non-coding RNA (CANN_LNC017011)". Lineage: Eukaryota; Viridiplantae; Streptophyta; Magnoliopsida; Solanales; Solanaceae. The record is from RNAcentral.